This 614-nucleotide ribosomal RNA is filed under the name Lyngbya sp. CALU725. RNAcentral describes it as "bacterial SSU rRNA". It matches the Rfam family "Bacterial small subunit ribosomal RNA", at positions 150 to 796 of the family's 1533-position model. Lineage: Bacteria; Bacillati; Cyanobacteriota; Cyanophyceae; Oscillatoriales; Microcoleaceae. The record is from RNAcentral.
CUGGAAACGACUGCUAAUACCCAAUAUGCCGAGAGGUGAAACUUAUAUGGCCAGAGGAUGAGCUCGCGUCUGAUUAGCUAGUUGGAGUGGUAACGGCACACCAAGGCGACGAUCAGUAGCUGGUCUGAGAGGAUGAUCAGCCACACUGGGACUGAGACACGGCCCAGACUCCUACGGGAGGCAGCAGUGGGGAAUUUUCCGCAAUGGGCGAAAGCCUGACGGAGCAAGACCGCGUGAGGGAGGAAGGCCUACUGGUUGUAAACCUCUUUUGAUAGGGAAGAAGAAAGUGACGGUACCUAUCGAAUCAGCAUCGGCUAACUCCGUGCCAGCAGCCGCGGUAAUACGGAGGAUGCAAGCGUUAUCCGGAAUUAUUGGGCGUAAAGCGUCCGUAGGUGGUUAUUCAAGUCAGCUGUCAAAGGAUGGAGCUUAACUCCAUAAAGGCAGUUGAAACUGUGUAGCUAGAGUGCGAUAGGGGCAAGGGGAAUUCCCAGUGUAGCGGUGAAAUGCGUAGAUAUUGGGAAGAACAUCGGUGGCGAAAGCGCCUUGCUGGGUCUGCACUGACACUGAGGGACGAAAGCUAGGGGAGCGAAAGGGAUUAGAUACCCCUGUAGUCA